AACGAACGCUGGCGGCAGGCUUAACACACGCAAGUCGAGCGCCCCGCAAGGGGAGCGGCAGACGGGUGAGUAACGCGUGGGAACGUACCCUUUGCUACGGAAUAGCUCCGGGAAACUGGAAUUAAUACCGUAUGUGCCCUACGGGGGAAAGUUUUAUCGGCAAAGGAUCGGCCCGCGUUGGAUUAGCUAGUUGGUGGGGUAAUGGCCUACCAAGGCGACGAUCCAUAGCUGGUCUGAGAGGAUGAUCAGCCACAUUGGGACUGAGACACGGCCCAAACUCCUACGGGAGGCAGCAGUGGGGAAUAUUGGACAAUGGGCGCAAGCCUGAUCCAGCCAUGCCGCGUGAGUGAUGAAGGCCUUAGGGUUGUAAAGCUCUUUCACCGGAGAAGAUAAUGACGGUAUCCGGAGAAGAAGCCCCGGCUAACUUCGUGCCAGCCGCCGCUGUAA
RNAcentral lists this ribosomal RNA (447 nucleotides) under uncultured bacterium. Its description in RNAcentral is "partial 16S ribosomal RNA". It matches the Rfam family "Bacterial small subunit ribosomal RNA", at positions 29 to 523 of the family's 1533-position model. The record is from RNAcentral.